Molecule: ribosomal RNA, 546 nt
Filed under: Yendoa hakodatensis
Lineage: Eukaryota; Rhodophyta; Florideophyceae; Rhodymeniales; Lomentariaceae
Description: eukaryotic LSU rRNA
Rfam family: Eukaryotic large subunit ribosomal RNA
Source: RNAcentral
UUAGCCCUGAAAAUGGAUGGCGCUCAAGCGGGCAGCCGACACCACACCGUUUGUUUUAUAUAUAACAGAUGAGUAGGAGGGCGUGGUGGCCGUAUCGAAGCAUGCGUGCGAACGCUUGUGGAACGGCCACUAGUGCAGAUCUUGGUGGUAGUAGCAAAUAUUCAAGCGAGAUCCUUGAAGGGCGAAGCGGGGAAGGGUUCCACGCGAACAUUGAUUGGGCGUGGGUGAGUCGUUCCUAAGCCGAGUGGCCAUUGCUAAUUAUAGGCGAAAGGGAAGCGGGUUGAAAUUCCCGCACACGGAUGUGGAGGCGGUGACGCACAUUGAGACGAAAACAUCGGCGAUGGCGCUGGGCAGAGAUGUCUUUUCUGUUUAAUCAUUAUCAUGCUGUGUGGAAUCCGCUUGUCGGGAGAAACACGCAUGAAAGGUAAGAGCGCCGGGGCUUUUCCGGCGUCCAGCUCGCCAACGACGGUCCUUGAAAAUUUGUCUAAUGAUCAGAUCCACGCCGUGGCGUACCGAUAACCGCAUCAGGUCCCCAAGGUGAACAGC